RNAcentral lists this ribosomal RNA (423 nucleotides) under Triticum aestivum (bread wheat). RNAcentral's name for it is "partial small subunit ribosomal RNA". The record is from RNAcentral. Lineage: Eukaryota; Viridiplantae; Streptophyta; Magnoliopsida; Poales; Poaceae.
AUGGCCAGUUUUAGUAUAAAGAUCAAAGAAGCUUAUGCACAUCCAAAAAGAAAAGGAAAGCAGGGUGUAAACUUUCGGAAGAACGGAAUGAUUAUGUCGCCCUGCCUUCUAUAUUUUCCCAUAUAUAGAGAGAGAGACCUCCCUCCCUCGAUUUUUUUUUUGAGAAAUACCCCCUCCCUCGAUUACAAUGCAGAACAAACUGAUGGGCUGCUUUUCUAUGUAAGCCUUGGCCCGUUUCUCCCUACCGAGAGAGUGGCCUCGUUAGCCGCUGGCUUAACCGCCCAGGCCCAGGCGCAGGGCAGCGCCGACGCCCCCAGUGUUGGGACAGCUGGAGCUCCUCUGCCUCUGCGUUGCCUCACCGCCGGUGAGCUCAGGGAUCCACGCCAUCGACGAUCAGUGGUCAGUCGGGCAGGACAGCAGUGA